GGUGAACUGAAAAACCAAGUCAAGCUGGUGCCACAAAUGACCAUCUACUGGCACUCUCAACAGCAGUUCAGUUAGUACUUAAGACUGAAGAAAAAGUAUCUUAUCUGUUAAACAUCUCUUAGUUUUUCCAAGGUACUGGAUUAUAAGCUAUUAGGAUAGACGUUUUUCUUUUUAUAAACGUGACACAGGAUAUUCUAAGUUCAGUUUGUGUUUUAUUUUAUUUCAUUUAAAAUAAAUAUAUGCAGACAGAAAAAUAUAAAAAGAGCAAAAGCAUAACAACACAGGCCCAAUUUGAGCUUGAGUAAUUAAAUCAAACUCUUGCUGUCUUUGUGUUAUGCCCCGUGGAAAUCAUCACAUCCCCAGUUUCCCUCUGACUGUGAAGCUAACGUUCUUUUCUCAAAUUAGAUCCACAGAGAGUGAGAGCCCUAAAGAGGCCUGUUGACCUACAGGCUAUCAGGAAUGUCUGCUGAAUCAGUGAUUCUUCACUUGAAAACUAAAGAGUGAGUAAACAGCUGGUGAAUUCAGUAUGAAGAAGGUCAACUUCACCACCAGUGAGCAAGCUGUAAAGACUUCAAGAAGUCCUUUACAUCAUACAAUGUCCUGAAGCCUGAUGUGAUUCAAUAAUUUCCAAUGGAAUGCUGGAAAUUUCUGAAAAGAGGAUCUCGCCCCAUCUAAACUUCUCUUACCAUGGCUCUCAGGCUCCAAGUUAUUCACAAUAGAAGAAAUUUCUCAGACCUUCCCAUAGAAAGUUGCUGCUGUUCCAAACUCUGGUCCUUCUAAAAUUGGGGAUGAGGCACAAAAUCUUCAAAGAAGAAAUCACACCUUCAUUCAGUGGCCUCAGCUACACCUUCGGAGCAGCUUCUUUGUUUACUUUUAUCUUUACAAAACCAUUUUCAAUGAUCCACCCUCUGAUUAGUCUGUCUCUACUGACUCAUGGUUUUGUCACUGGCUGGCUACAAGGCUACAGUUUUGAAAAACAUGUAAAUAUGGUUACCAGCUCAAGCACCUAAAAAUGUAGGAUGCCCAGUUAAAUUUGACAAAUAUUUUUUUUAGCCUAAGUACAUCCCUGGAUAUAUUUAGGACAUAUUUAUACUUAGAAAAAUUAUUUAUAUCAAAUAACUGUCUUUUAUCCAGUAACCCAACAUGUGAAGAUUUUGGAAACUAGAUUGAUUUUAGGAGCAUGGAUAUCAAGUUUUGACUCACACAAAAAUCAGAGAAACUGCUCCCAAGGAACAGUCCUAUGGCGAGGCGAACAUGCAUGAGAACAAAAUUUAGCAGUGCUGUAUGCACCACAAUAACCUGUAACAACCUAGCCCUUUCAGGGCUGACUCAUACACCUAGAGAAAUGCAUCUGAACACUCAGUCACUCAGUAAAGACAGAUGGUCUCAUUAGACAUUUGACAAAGAGAAAAAAAAAUGUGCUAAAUUUCAAUUACUAUUUGCUCACUCCCCAAACUCCUUGCCAAAUUUUUAUGAAAUGUAUCCAAAGCCUUCCAUAGGAGGUGUAAUAUUUUGCUCGGGCUGCUAUAACAAAGUGCCACAAACUGGGUGGCUUAAACCAUAGAAGCCUUCUCUCCCAGUUCUGAAGGCCAGGAGUCAGAAGGCAAAGUGUCGGCAGGAUCGGUUCCUGCUGUGAAGGCGAGUCUGCUCCAGGCCUCCUCCAACUUGAGAUGGUUUCCUGGCAAUCUUUAGAGUGUCUUGGCUUAUAGAUUCAUCAUCCCAAUCUCCGCCUUCAUGUUCAUAUGUUGUUCUCUGUGUGUGAUGUCUGUGUCCAAAUUUCCCCUCUUUAUAAGGAUAGAAGUCAUAUUGGACUGGCGGCUCACCCUACUCCAGUGUCACCUCAUCUGAACUAAUCACAUCCGCAAUGACCCUAUUUCCAGAUGCCACAUUCUAAGGUACUAGGGGGUAAGCACUUCAACAUAUGAAUUUGGAGGGGACAUGUUCAACAUGCAAUGGGGGUGAAUCUGUACAGGUGUUAGAAAGACUGGAGAAGGAAUCCAAAACCCAACAACACAGGUCUGUAUGUGAAAACUGACAGGCAGGGUGUUUGACGGGGGAAGCUCCCAGGGCCUGGGUUCUGCCUCAAGGAUCUGUCCAUUCCACACCGGUGGGAAGGGCUGGCGAGUGGACAGGUAGAAGUUGGUCUGCAUGGCAAGCAUGCUGUUCUCACACAGCCUGGAAGCAGGCAGUGGCAGACUAGAAAGACUUACUCCGGGUCCAGUUCAGGCCCUGCCCUGGCUCUGCAGAAUCAUUCCUGGCUGUCCCCCACUUUCAGAACCCUCCCUCAUUAUAUGUAUAGCAUUUACUACCUAUAUCAUUCCUUUAGCAAAGCUCUCAUAUGUAUUUUCUAUGCAAGUUCUGUCUCUACAACUAUAUAAAGGAAGCUUUCGAUUUUCCCAAAGAAUAUUUUUGUGUGUAUUUUAUAUUAUAUGCACACACAUAUAUAAAUAUGAACACAUCCAGCAACGAUAAAGUAACUGAGAGUGGAAUGUUACAAAUCAGACUCUGAGAUCCCUUCUUUAAAAGGUUUCUUCUUUCAGAUAAUUCUUCCAGGCUUUAUGGGCUUUUCAAAGAAUACACAACUUAACUGAGUUCUUGGAGCAGUUAUCAAGUUAUAUUAAUUACUUUUCCCUGACAGAUACAGAUUGAUACGCAUACCAUCCUAGGAACAUGGUCUCCUGUCAUUUCAUUAUUACUGAGGCAAAUUUGUGGAGAGUACAUUUUCUGGAAAAAUGAGAAAUAAUGAUUCUGUGACAUGAAUUAUAAACUCAAAAUGUACCCAUAUAAAAAUGUUAAAAAUUUUAAAAUAUUUGAAAACUAUCAAAUCCAUUGCAAAAUUUGAUUUUCCAAGUUUUAAAAGGCAGAAUCACCUGGCUUUGUUAACUUAGCCCCUCUUUCAACUGGGGAUUGAUAUAAGAAAGGCCUAUUGCCUGAAGACAUUCUUGAGUAGCUGUUGACCCAAGGCCAUGUACAUUAUUUUACAGUCAAUAAAUCUCACCAACUGAAGCUGUUUAUUUCUUACUUUUGCCCAAAUCCUGCCAUGGCUAAUGACCAACAGACAACUGCCAACGGGUCAAUUGUCUUCAGUUUGCUCAAGUUUUAAGAUGGAAAAGAUCUGAUCCCUUCUCCUGGAGUCAUACAGUCUAGUGGGGAAAGACAAAUAGACAAAAAUAGCAUACGAAUAGCCACCACACUUUUGAACUCUUUGUGCUGGAUCCUGUAUUGAGUUCUGUAUUAACUUUUUAAACUCCCCCCUCAGGCCUAUAAUGAAAGUACUGUUGUCACCCCAUGUUAUCAAUGAGAAAACGGAGUUCUAGGCAGGUGAGGCUAUUGCUCAGGUAGUUUGUCUACGUCGCUCAUGGCCGGUCUUAUCUGGUUCAAAAUGUCAAUAGGACUGAGGUUGAGAAACACAAUACUCCCCUUUGGCUCAAUUAAUCUAACUCGUGCAUCAUCUACUCACAGAAACUGCAAUCAACUCACUGGAUCUGCAAGACUCUCUACCAACCAUACACUUAAAGAAAUUAAAAGUCAGGUAUAGGUAGCCAACAUUUUGCUUUACAAAGCUUUCUGAGGACAGUACACUCAAUCUUGAUCAUGCCUGAACCAGCCUUCAGAAAAGACUUGUGAUGGAAAUGUGUCUAGAACUGAGUGCAGUCCAUCUUCCACUGGGAUUUCCUCUGAACACUUUUAAAUUAGGCCAUGUGGCUCUGCUGGAGACUAACUUAGACCAUGUCUCCUCUGUAGUCAAGUCUACGCGCAGAAGGUUGCUUCCGGUGGGUACCUGCACUUCUCUGCCCAGGGCCAUUUUUUUGGCAGAGGAGCCUUGUGACCUCAUAGAGAUGCCAAAUAGAAGUACCAGAGAGGUAAUGCCCCAGCAGUAGCCCUUAACAAAAGGAUGGGUGGAGAGUUGCUGAGUAAGUUUUAUCUGCUUCCUCCCAUGUCAGGUGAAAAUAUGCUAAGUGCCACAGUGACUGAGUGGUCCACAGCGGGGCCUUUAUGGGCUCAUUCCCUUUACUAUCUCGUGUUCCUACUCCACCACCAGUGCUACUUGGGCUUGUAUUCCAAAUCAACUUCUUGCCCUGAGAUCCUCAGCUCAGGUUCUGCCUCUAGGGGAAUACAAAAAUGGAACAAAUCUCAAAAUAGAUGAAACUAUUAGCUAUGCAUAACACACCGAAAAUUGA
Acinonyx jubatus (cheetah) is the source of this 4181-nucleotide long non-coding RNA. RefSeq lists it as uncharacterized. The transcript has 3 exons. Lineage: Eukaryota; Metazoa; Chordata; Mammalia; Carnivora; Felidae. The record is from RefSeq and is a predicted model, not a curated record.